Long non-coding RNA from Chelonia mydas (Green sea turtle), 457 nucleotides. RefSeq lists it as uncharacterized. Lineage: Eukaryota; Metazoa; Chordata; Testudines; Cheloniidae. The transcript is spliced from 3 exons. The record is from RefSeq and is a predicted model, not a curated record.
CCUCUUACUAUUUUUUUAAAAAGUUGGGGUAUACAUUUAAUUUGAGCCUCUUUUAUGGUGUGUUUUAAAAAGGUUUCAUACAGCUUCCAGGCAUUUCACUCGUGACUGUUCCUUUUAAGUUCCGUUUAACUAGCUUCCUCAUUUUUGUGUAGUUCCCCUUUCUAAAGUUAAAUGCUAUGGUAGUGGGCUUCUUUGGUUCCCGCCACCACCACAAGGAUGUUUAAUUUCAUUAUAUUAUGGUCACUAUUACCAAAUUGUUCAGCUAUAUACACCUCUUGGACCAGAUCCUGAGCUCCACUUAGGACUAAAUUAAGAAUUGCCUUUCCCCUUGUGGGUUCCAGGACUAGCUGAUCCAAGUAUUAGUCAUUAAUGGUGUUAAAUUUUAUCUCUGCAUACCAUUCUGAGGUGACGUGUUCCCAGUCAUUACGGGGAUAGUUGAAAUCGCCUAUUAUUAUUG